RNAcentral lists this ribosomal RNA (497 nucleotides) under uncultured bacterium. RNAcentral describes it as "partial 16S ribosomal RNA". It matches the Rfam family "Bacterial small subunit ribosomal RNA", at positions 28 to 507 of the family's 1533-position model. The record is from RNAcentral.
GAUGAACGCUGGCGGCGUGCCUAAUACAUGCAAGUCGAGCGAACGGACGAGAAGCUUGCUUCUCUGAUGUUAGCGGCGGACGGGUGAGUAACACGUGGAUAACCUACCUAUAAGACUGGGAUAACUUCGGGAAACCGGAGCUAAUACCGGAUGAUAUUUUGAACCGCAUGGUUCAAAAGUGAAAGACGGUCUUGCUGUCACUUAUAGAUGGAUCCGCGCUGCAUUAGCUAGUUGGUAAGGUAACGGCUUACCAAGGCAACGAUGCAUAGCCGACCUGAGAGGGUGAUCGGCCACACUGGAACUGAGACACGGUCCAGACUCCUACGGGAGGCAGCAGUAGGGAAUCUUCCGCAAUGGGCGAAAGCCUGACGGAGCAACGCCGCGUGAGUGAUGAAGGUCUUCGGAUCGUAAAACUCUGUUAUUAGGGAAGAACAUAUGUGUAAGUAACUGUGCACAUCUUGACGGUACCUAAUCAGAAAGCCACGGGUAACUACGUG